UAGAAGUGAAGAUCAAUUGGCGGAUAUCUUCACCAAGGCCACAUGACCUAAGGUUUGCAAUCAUAUUUAUAGCAAACUUGGACUUGUGGACCUUUCACGCCCUUGAUCAACUUCUCUAAUCUGUGGACAUCACACUCUUUUUCCCUUAGUAUAGUUUUGUCCCAUGAGGUUUUCUAUACUAAGGUUUUUAAUGAGGUGAUGCUUCACGGGUUCCAAGCUUAGCCAUUUCAUUAAGCUAAGCUUGAGGGGGAGUAUUGAUCAAGAUCUUAUUGAGUAUAUCAAGAUAGAAUAGACCAUUAU
Molecule: long non-coding RNA, 300 nt
Filed under: Capsella rubella
Lineage: Eukaryota; Viridiplantae; Streptophyta; Magnoliopsida; Brassicales; Brassicaceae
Description: long non-coding RNA (CRUB_LNC003991)
Source: RNAcentral